CCUACGGGUGGCAGCAGUGGGGAAUAUUGGGCAAUGGGCGCAAGCCUGACCCAGCAACGCCGCGUGAAGGAAGAAGGCUUUCGGGUUGUAAACUUCUUUUCUCAGGGACGAAGAAAGUGACGGUACCUGAUGAAUAAGCCACGGCUAACUACGUGCCAGCAGCCGCGGGAAUCCGUAGGGGGCAAGCGUUAUCCGGAUUUAUUGGGUGUAAAGGGCGUGUAGGCGGGAGCGCAAGUCAGAUGUGAAAACUCAGGGCUCAACCCUGAGCCUGCAUUGGAAACUGUGUUUCUUGAGUGCUGGAGAGGCAAUCGGAAUUACGUGUGUAGCGGUGAAAUGCGUAGAUAUACAGAGGAACACCAGUGGCGAAGGCGGAUUGCUGGACAGUAACUGACGCUGAGGCGCGAAAGCGUGGGGAGCAAACAGGAUUAGAUACCCGUGUAGUC
RNAcentral lists this ribosomal RNA (443 nucleotides) under uncultured bacterium. RNAcentral describes it as "partial 16S ribosomal RNA". It matches the Rfam family "Bacterial small subunit ribosomal RNA", at positions 338 to 795 of the family's 1533-position model. The record is from RNAcentral.